GCGAUCAUACCAGCACUAAUGCAUCGGAUCCCAUCAGAACUCCGAAGUUAAGCGUGCUUGGUUGAGUGCAGUACUAGUAUGGGUGAUCCCUUGGGAAGUCCUCGUGUUGCACCU
Molecule: ribosomal RNA, 114 nt
Filed under: Zingiber officinale
Lineage: Eukaryota; Viridiplantae; Streptophyta; Magnoliopsida; Zingiberales; Zingiberaceae
Source: RNAcentral